This 253-nucleotide ribosomal RNA is filed under the name uncultured archaeon. Its description in RNAcentral is "partial 16S ribosomal RNA". It matches the Rfam family "Archaeal small subunit ribosomal RNA", at positions 474 to 727 of the family's 1478-position model. The record is from RNAcentral.
AACCAGCACCUCAAGUGGUCAGGAUGAUUAUUGGGCCUAAAGCAUCCGUAGCCUGUUUUGUAAGUCUUCGGUUAAAUCCAUCAACUCAAGUGAUGGGCCGUCGGAGAUACUGCAAAACUAGGGAAUGGGAGAGGUAGACGGUACUCGGUAGGAAGGGGUAAAAUCCUUUGAUCUAUUGAUGACCACCUGUGGCGAAGGCGGUCUACCAGAACAUGUUCGACGGUGAGGGAUGAAAGCUGGGGGAGCAAACCGG